Trichonephila clavipes is the source of this 73-nucleotide non-coding RNA. The record is from the annotation of a GenBank genome assembly. NCBI's taxonomy places the organism in Eukaryota, Metazoa, Arthropoda, Arachnida, Araneae, Nephilidae.
GUCCCUGUAGCAUAAUGGAUAGUGCGUUGGACUUCUAAUCCAAAGUGCGUGGGUUCGAAUCCCUCCUGAGAUG